This 491-nucleotide ribosomal RNA is filed under the name uncultured bacterium. Its description in RNAcentral is "partial 16S ribosomal RNA". It matches the Rfam family "Bacterial small subunit ribosomal RNA", at positions 29 to 507 of the family's 1533-position model. The record is from RNAcentral.
GUGAACGCUGGCGGUAGGCCUAACACAUGCAAGUCGAACGGCAGCACAGUAAGAGCUUGCUCUUACGGGUGGCGAGUGGCGGACGGGUGGGGAAUACAUCGGAAUCUACUUUUUCGUGGGGGAUAACGUAGGGAAACUUACGCUAAUACCGCAUACGACCUACGGGUGAAAGCAGGGGAUCUUCGGACCUUGCGCGAUUGAAUGAGCCGAUGUCGGAUUAGCUAGUUGGCGGGGUAAAGGCCCACCAAGGCGACGAUCCGUAGCUGGUCUGAGAGGAUGAUCAGCCACACUGGAACUGAGACACGGUCCAGACUCCUACGGGAGGCAGCAGUGGGGAAUAUUGGACAAAGGGCGCAAGCCUGAUCCAGCCAUACCGCGUGGGUGAAGAAGGCCUUCGGGUUGUAAAGCCCUUUUGUUGGGAAAGAAAAGCAGCAGGUUAAUACCCCGCUGUUCUGACGGUACCCAAAGAAUAAGCACCGGCUAACUUCGUG